AGUGAACGCUGGCGGUAGGCCUAACACAUGCAAGUCGAACGGCAGCACAGUAAGAGCUUGCUCUUACGGGUGGCGAGUGGCGGACGGGUGAGGAAUACAUCGGAAUCUACUUUUUCGUGGGGGAUAACGGAGGGAAACUUACGCUAAUACCGCAUACGACCUACGGGUGAAAGCAGGGGAGCUUCGGACCUUGCGCGAUUGAAAGAGCCGAUGUCGGAUUAGCUAGUUGGCGGGGUAAAGGCCCACCAAGGCGACGAUCCGUAGCUGGUCUGAGAGGAUGAUCAGCCACACUGGAACUGAGACACGGUCCAGACUCCUACGGGAGGCAGCAGUGGGGAAUAUUGGACAAUGGGCGCAAGCCUGAUCCAGCCAUACCGCGUGGGUGAAGAAGGCCUUCGGGUUGUAAAGCCCUUUUGUUGGGAAAGAAAAGCAGCAGGUUAAUCCCCCGCUGUUCUGACGGUACCCAAAGAAUAAGCACCGGCUAACUUCGUG
RNAcentral lists this ribosomal RNA (492 nucleotides) under uncultured bacterium. Its description in RNAcentral is "partial 16S ribosomal RNA". It matches the Rfam family "Bacterial small subunit ribosomal RNA", at positions 29 to 507 of the family's 1533-position model. The record is from RNAcentral.